UCAGAACGAACGCUGGCGGCGCGUUUAAGCAUGCAAGUCGAGCGGCAAGGGCCUUCGGGCCCCUAGAGCGGCGGACGGGUGAGUAACACGUGGACAAUCUGCCCCCCGGCCCGGGAUAGCCCAGGGAAACCUGGAUUAAUACCGGAUGAGACGGGACCUGCGAUGGCGGGAUCCGGGAAAGGCGCUACGGCGCCGCCGGGGGAUGAGUCUGCGUCCCAUUAGCUAGACGGCGGGGUAACGGCCCACCGUGGCGACGAUGGGUAGCCGGCCUGAGAGGGUGGACGGCCACAUUGGAACUGAGACACGGUCCAGACUCCUACGGGAGGCAGCAGCUAAGAAUCUUCCGCAAUGGGCGAAAGCCUGACGGAGCGACGCCGCCGUGAACGAAGAAGGCCGUGAGGUUGUAAAGCUCUUUUCGGGAGGGGGAACAACCGUGGCAGGGAAUGGCCGCGGGAUGACGUGAAUCCCGGAAUAAGCCCCGGCUAACUACGUGCCAGCCGCAGC
Molecule: ribosomal RNA, 504 nt
Filed under: uncultured bacterium
Lineage: Bacteria
Description: bacterial SSU rRNA
Rfam family: Bacterial small subunit ribosomal RNA
Source: RNAcentral